This is a long non-coding RNA of Carassius auratus (goldfish), 1028 nucleotides long. RefSeq lists it as uncharacterized. Lineage: Eukaryota; Metazoa; Chordata; Actinopteri; Cypriniformes; Cyprinidae. The transcript is spliced from 3 exons. The record is from RefSeq and is a predicted model, not a curated record.
AACAUUUUCAUAAUAAUAAUAACACAUUUCCAUUAUCCCCCCUAACGAACCAAGACAAUGGACGAGCCGACUUCCGGUUGCUUCGCGCCGAUGCAGCCACACACAUCGGUCCUGGCACUAUUUAUCCAGGCCGCUGGGUGGCGCUCGGGUUCGGUCGAUCGAUGGUGGAGAAGCAACGCGAAAGGCUGGCAACACAGACGCUGACAAACACCGAACACAGGUAUGUAUUAACAUAACAUGACGAAACAUAAAACAUAGAAACAGAAACAAACACAACUCAGGUAUGUAUGCAUGUUGUUAUGCGCAGCAGGGAUUCUGAAGGGGAUGGAAAUGGAGUGGCUAUGUUUGCGUGUAUGAUGACCAGCGUGCAAAUGGCGUGCGUGUGUACCCACAAUGCCCCAGCAGGGAACGGAGGAUGAGGAAUCCAAGUAGAAUGGAGCAUGGAGACAGUGGAGCACAGGGGUACGUGGAGUGGAUAGAUGGAGCGGCUAACAGUAAUAGCAGGCAGAAGAUGAGAGAAUCUUCUUUGUGAGAGCAGCCACUUGUGUCACUGUGUGCUGGGGACUGUGAUUCCUCAGAAGGCCAAGCACCACGUUCCUCUUCAGGCAGUACAGAGCCCCAGCUGAUGCUCCUGGCCCCCAGGUGAACUGUGUAAAAGCCCGGUCCCUUUUCUUCCCUUCUAUACCUCUCUAUCCGUGUUCAUCCUCCCUUGUGUACAGAUUACCUUCAAAAUCAACAACAGCUCCAGCUAGCUUCAAAGUGUCCUUUUUGUCUGUGUUGCAUAUGAUGCUUGUUGUUUGAAGUUUUAAAUGUCUUGUCAUUUACGAUAGAAUGCAAAUGUACUGAAGUGCCAGACUAGACAUGCAUGUGUGGGUGAUUUCUUAUGCAACAUGUCCAUCUGAGACAGUCUUGAUUUAUUAAUGUUUUGAUAUGUGGAAACACUCACUUUAUUUCAUGAUGAUAUUUUUUUGAUACAUGAAGGUAUCUAAAUUAAAAAAAACUGAAGACAACAGUAAUUGAACACUAUA